RNAcentral lists this ribosomal RNA (691 nucleotides) under uncultured bacterium. RNAcentral's name for it is "bacterial SSU rRNA". It matches the Rfam family "Bacterial small subunit ribosomal RNA", at positions 8 to 688 of the family's 1533-position model. The record is from RNAcentral.
AGGGUUUGAUCAUGGCUCAGAACUAACGCUGGUGGCGUGUCUUAGUCAUGCAAGUCGAACGAGAAAGUACCCUUCGGGGUGCGAGUAAAGUGGCGCACGGGUGAGUAACACGUGGGUAACCUGCCUUGUGGUGGGGGAUAACCCUCCUAACGGAGGAGUAAUACCGCAUGAUGUGUCUCUUUCGCAUGAGAGAGAUACCAAAGGGGCUUCGGUCCCGCCAUAAGAUGGACCCGCGGUUCAUUAGCUUGUUGGUGAGGUAACGGCUCACCAAGGCGACGAUGAAUAGCCGGCCUGAGAGGGUGAUCGGCCACACUGGAACUGAGAUAAGGUCCAGUCCCCUACGGAGGCCAGCAGUCUAGAAAUUUGCGCAAUGGGGGAAACCCUGACGCAGCGACGCCACGUGGAGGAUGAAGCCCCUAGGGGUGUAAACUCCUGUCGAGAGGGAAGAACGCGGUGAAUAACUUUCACCGUCUGACGGUACCUCUAAAGGAAGCUCCGGCUAACUCUGUGCCAGCAGCCGCGGUAAUACAGAGGGAGCAAGCGUUGUUCGGAUUUACUGGGCGUAAAGCGCGCGCAGGCGGGCGAAUAAGUCGGACGUGAAAAUUGUGGGCUCAACCUACAACCUGCGUCCGAAACUGUUUGUCUUGAGUACAGGAGAGGUGAGUGGAAUCUAUGGUGUAGCGGUGAAAUG